AAUGAAACAAAGGGGCUCCAAGUGACAGGGCCAAGGCUAUGGAGUGACAUUUCACCCUUACCCUACGGCCCCACAUUGCUCCUCAGCCAUCUGAGCCCCCAAAGAAAUGGUGACAGUACCCCUGUCACCCAUGGAAGACUAGAGAGGCACCUUGCUUAUUCAGAGCAUGAUUGCCCCAGACCAGAAAGAAGUGGAAGAAACAGACCCUCCAAAGAAGAUGAGAAGAAAGAAGGGGGCCCGCGGAGAGUGCAGUCUGCUGAUGUCCUGAUGAUAUCAGCAGCAGAGAGAGCAUUGUCACAGUGAACAGUCUUGGUUCCCAGUGUGAAGACACAGGACGAGUCUGGAGUGCAUUAGAGAAGCCAGGAGAAGUCGCUCCUUGUGAUGCUGAAGUCAGGGAAGAAGUGAAGACCGUGGGUGGAAAUGAGAAGCAUUCAACCAUAAAUUAACGUAAACCCGGGGUCAUCCCACAUACAGCCCUGGCAAUAAGGGAAUUCACAAUGUAGAAGAAGAAGUGUGUCAGGCAUUAAACACCAGGUCAGGCUGCAGAGAAAUCCAGACACCAGGAAAAUUUCUCAUGGGAAAUCUACUGUCUGCCCUCCACAGGGUGUGAGUCUUGGCCUUCAGAACAAGCUAUCACGGUUGUGGUGACCUUUGGUGUUCUCUAAGCUAUCUGAGGUCACAGGUUCAAUGUUACCUUUGGGUUUCUACAUGCAGGUGACUACAAUGAGCCUCUGGAGCCGCCUUCUCUUCAGGAAGUAGCAAAUGGAAGACCCUUCCCCAGUAAAGAUGUCUUUGAACUUAUGAAUAAAUCGAUUGCCACAUCUUCCCUGAAGCCUGGGACUCUAAGUUGACUUUGCCACUCGCUUCUAAAGCUUGCACCCAAGAGAGGGAAACUAACAAACUUCACUCCUUUGCUUACUUCACGGCUGAACAAUAAAUAUUUGGGCAAGCCCUGGGAACUCUGGAAAGAGAAACAACUCAGCUCUCCUCCAUGAGUCUCACCUGUCUCUCAGAUCAAAGUAUCACAGACACAGAGAGAGGGACCCUUCUCUCUAGGGACCUGUUCACAUGCCUCUCUCCACAGCACAUGGAGGCUUUGCUUCUGAGAGCUUGGGUGGCCAGGUGAGCAGCUGCUGUUCAGCACCUCUAUGAAGACACAGUGGCUGGAACUCUGAUAGCAGGAGCUUAAGGAGACAGAUUAAGGACCUUUUUGCAGGAGCUGGCUGCUUGCGAGUUUUCCUUACUUCUUGUCCCCCCUUUUUUAUCCCUCGUGCUUUCGAGUAUUUGGUGGUGAUCGUGAAAAUUGGCACUCAUUUACAGAAAUGCCCCUUGGGGACUUCAGGUAUUGCAACUGGAUAAAACAUAUAUUGGCUUCAGAAUGGAGAGGAAAGCCCUUUAUUCAGUACACAUAGAUGGGUAAACGCUAGCAUGUAUCCGAUGCCUUAAACCAUGUUUGUUCUCAGUCCCUGGGAUGCCAGUGUUCAAACUUCGGAUGUAAUUAGGACGCUGUGCAAGGAUGUGUUUUCAAGGAUGCUAACUAUAGCUGCUCUGUCUGACUGUUAAACUGAGAAACUGUCUAGAUGUUCAAUAACUGGGAUUGAUCGAAUGAAUGAAGGCACAGAAAUAUAAUAAAGCACAUAUAAUUGUAAAA
This 1651-nucleotide long non-coding RNA is filed under the name Mus musculus (house mouse). Its description in RNAcentral is "predicted gene, 57174". Lineage: Eukaryota; Metazoa; Chordata; Mammalia; Rodentia; Muridae. The record is from RNAcentral.